AGAGUUUGAUCCUGGCUCAGGACGAACGCUGGCGGCGUGCCUAAUACAUGCAAGUAGAACGCUGAAGGAGGAGCUUGCUUCUCUGGAUGAGUUGCGAACGGGUGAGUAACGCGUAGGUAACCUGCCUGGUAGCGGGGGAUAACUAUUGGAAACGAUAGCUAAUACCGCAUAAGAGUGGAUGUUGCAUGACAUUUGCUUAAAAGGUGCACUUGCAUCACUACCAGAUGGACCUGCGUUGUAUUAGCUAGUUGGUGGGGUAACGGCUCACCAAGGCGACGAUACAUAGCCGACCUGAGAGGGUGAUCGGCCACACUGGGACUGAGACACGGCCCAGACUCCUACGGGAGGCAGCAGUAGGGAAUCUUCGGCAAUGGACGGAAGUCUGACCGAGCAACGCCGCGUGAGUGAAGAAGGUUUUCGGAUCGUAAAGCUCUGUUGUAAGAGAAGAACGAGUGUGAGAGUGGAAAGUUCACACUGUGACGGUAUCUUACCAGAAAGGGACGGCUAACUACGUGCCAGCAGCCGCGGUAAUACGUAGGUCCCGAGCGUUGUCCGGAUUUAUUGGGCGUAAAGCGAGCGCAGGCGGUUAGAUAAGUCUGAAGUUAAAGGCUGUGGCUUAACCAUAGUAGGCUUUGGAAACUGUUUAACUUGAGUGCAAGAGGGGAGAGUGGAAUUCCAUGUGUAGCGGUGAAAUGCGUAGAUAUAUGGAGGAACACCGGUGGCGAAAGCGGCUCUCUGGCUUGUAACUGACGCUGAGGCUCGAAAGCGUGGGGAGCAAACAGGAUUAGAUACCCUGGUAGUCCACGCUGUAAACGAUGAGUGCUAGGUGUUAGACCCUUUCCGGGGUUUAGUGCCGUAGCUAACGCAUUAAGCACUCCGCCUGGGGAGUACGACCGCAAGGUUGAAACUCAAAGGAAUUGACGGGGGCCCGCACAAGCGGUGGAGCAUGUGGUUUAAUUCGAAGCAACGCGAAGAACCUUACCAGGUCUUGACAUCCCUCUGACCGCUCUAGAGAUAGAGCUUUCCUUCGGGACAGAGGUGACAGGUGGUGCAUGGUUGUCGUCAGCUCGGGCGUGAGAUGUUGGGUUAAGUCCCGCAACGAGCGCAACCCCAUUGUUAGUUGCCAUCAUUUAGUUGGGCACUCUAGCGAGACUGCCGGUAAUAAACCGGAGGAAGGUGGGGAUGACGUCAAAUCAUCAUGCCCCUUAUGACCUGGGCUACACACGUGCUACAAUGGCUGGUACAACGAGUCGCAAGCCGGUGACGGCAAGCUAAUCUCUUAAAGCCAGUCUCAGUUCGGAUUGUAGGCUGCAACUCGCCUACAUGAAGUCGGAAUCGCUAGUAAUCGCGGAUCAGCACGCCGCGGUGAAUACGUUCCCGGGCCUUGUACACACCGCCCGUCACACCACGAGAGUUUGUAACACCCGAAGUCGGUGAGGUAACCGUAAGGAGCCAGCCGCCUAAGGUGGGAUAGAUGAUUGGGGUGAAGUCGUAACAAGGUAGCCGUAUCGGAAGGUGCGGCUGGAUCACCU
RNAcentral lists this ribosomal RNA (1532 nucleotides) under Streptococcus pneumoniae. RNAcentral's name for it is "bacterial SSU rRNA". It matches the Rfam family "Bacterial small subunit ribosomal RNA". The record is from RNAcentral. Lineage: Bacteria; Bacillati; Bacillota; Bacilli; Lactobacillales; Streptococcaceae.